Molecule: transfer RNA, 98 nt
Filed under: Sordaria macrospora k-hell
Lineage: Eukaryota; Fungi; Ascomycota; Sordariomycetes; Sordariales; Sordariaceae
Description: tRNA-Ile
Source: RNAcentral
GCCCGAUUAGCUCAGCUGGUUAGAGCGUCGUACUAAUAUCAGAAUUUCCUGAUAUCAAGUCUAUGCGAAGGUCAACAGUUCAAUCCUGUUAUUGGGCA